CCGAGUGCGGGCCCCUCGGGGCCCAACCUCCCACCCGUGUUGCCCGAACCUAUGUUGCCUCGGCGGGCCCCGCGCCCGCCGACGGCCCCCCUGAACGCUGUCUGAAGUUGCAGUCUGAGACCUAUAACGAAAUUAGUUAAAACUUUCAACAACGGAUCUCUUGGUUCCGGCAUCGAUGAAGAACGCAGCGAAAUGCGAUAACUAAUGUGAAUUGCAGAAUUCAGUGAAUCAUCGAGUCUUUGAACGCACAUUGCGCCCUCUGGUAUUCCGGAGGGCAUGCCUGUCCGAGCGUCAUUGCUGCCCUCAAGCCCGGCUUGUGUGUUGGGCCCCGUCCCCCCCGCCGGGGGGACGGGCCCGAAAGGCAGCGGCGGCACCGCGUCCGGUCCUCGAGCGUAUGGGGCUUCGUCACCCGCUCUAGUAGGCCCGGCCGGCGCCAGCCGACCCCCAACCUUUAAUUAUCUCAGGUUGACCUCGGAUCAGGUAGGGAUACCCGCUGAACUU
RNAcentral lists this ribosomal RNA (501 nucleotides) under Penicillium sp. TVG11-CMA-25. RNAcentral describes it as "eukaryotic LSU rRNA". The stretch from base 141 to 294 matches the Rfam family "5.8S ribosomal RNA". The record is from RNAcentral. Lineage: Eukaryota; Fungi; Ascomycota; Eurotiomycetes; Eurotiales; Aspergillaceae.